AGUGACUUCCAUACUUAUGUCGCCGAUUAGUAGUAUCUUCUGCAAAAGGUUGCUCGUAGUGACUUCCAUACUUAUGUCGCCGAUCAGUAGUAUCUUCUGCAAAAGGUUGCUCGUAGUGACUUCCAUACUUAUGUCGCCGAUCAGUAGUAUCUUCUGCAAAAGGUUGCUCGUAGGGCCACGCUUGACUAUCAGUAGUAUCUUCUGCAAAAGGUUGCUCGUAGUGACUUCCAUACUUAUGUCGCCGAUCAGUAGUAUCUUCUGCAAAAGGUUGCUCGUAGUGACUUCCAUACUUAUGUCGCCGAUCAGUAGUAUCUUCUGCAAAAGGUUGCUCGUAGGGCCACGCUUGACUAUCAGUAGUAUCUUCUGCAAAAGGUUGCUCAUAGGGCCUUCCGUAAGACGGUCGAGUAUCUGCUUCUACAAAAGGUUGUUCAUAGCGCCUUCCGUAUAAAAAUUUUCAACGAACAUAAAAUUUUUUGAAAUCUAAAUUAAUUCUACAAUAAAAUAAAAUUUUU
Molecule: long non-coding RNA, 512 nt
Filed under: Manihot esculenta (cassava)
Lineage: Eukaryota; Viridiplantae; Streptophyta; Magnoliopsida; Malpighiales; Euphorbiaceae
Description: long non-coding RNA (MESC_LNC003699)
Source: RNAcentral